RNAcentral lists this ribosomal RNA (498 nucleotides) under uncultured bacterium. RNAcentral describes it as "partial 16S ribosomal RNA". It matches the Rfam family "Bacterial small subunit ribosomal RNA", at positions 30 to 523 of the family's 1533-position model. The record is from RNAcentral.
AUUGAACGCUGGCGGCAUGCCUUACACAUGCAAGUCGAACGGUAACAGGUCUUCGGAUGCUGACGAGUGGCGAACGGGUGAGUAAUACAUCGGAACGCGCCUAGUAGUGGGGGAUAACUACUCGAAAGAGUGGCUAAUACCGCAUGAGAUCUACGGAUGAAAGCAGGGGAUCGCAAGACCUUGUGCUACUAGAGCGGCCGAUGGCAGAUUAGGUAGUUGGUGGGAUAAAAGCUUACCAAGCCGACGAGCUGUAGCUGGUCUGAGAGGACGAUCAGCCACACGUGGACUGAGACACGGCCCAGACUCCUACGGGAGGCAGCAGUGGGGAAUUUUGGACAAUGGGCGAAAGCCCGAUCCAGCAAUGCCGCGUGCAGGAUGAAGGCCUUCGGGUUGUAAACUGCUUUUGUACGGAACGAAAAGCCCCGGGUUAAUACCCUGGGGUCAUGACGGUACCGUAAGAAUAAGCACCGGCUAACUACGUGCCAGCCGCCGCGGUAA